AACGAACGCUGGCGGCGUGGAUUAGGCAUGCAAGUCGAGCGAUCUCGCAAGAGAUAGCGGCAAAAGGGUGAGUAACACGUAAGUAAUCUUCCUUUAAGGCGGGGAUAGCACCGUGAAAACGGUGGUAAUACCCGAUAACAUAAAAGACCCGCAUGGGUUUUUUAUUAAAGACGGGGACCGUAAGGCCUGUCACUUAGAGAUGAGCUUGCGUACCAUCAGCUAGUUGGUAGGGUAACGGCCUACCAAGGCUAAGACGGUUAGCUGGUCUGAGAGGAUGGUCAGCCACACUGGGACUGAGACACUGCCCAGACUCCUACGGGUGGCAG
RNAcentral lists this ribosomal RNA (326 nucleotides) under uncultured Omnitrophica bacterium. RNAcentral's name for it is "bacterial SSU rRNA". It matches the Rfam family "Bacterial small subunit ribosomal RNA", at positions 29 to 351 of the family's 1533-position model. Lineage: Bacteria; Pseudomonadati; Candidatus Omnitrophota. The record is from RNAcentral.